This is a long non-coding RNA of Phyllostomus discolor (pale spear-nosed bat), 1296 nucleotides long. RefSeq lists it as uncharacterized. NCBI's taxonomy places the organism in Eukaryota, Metazoa, Chordata, Mammalia, Chiroptera, Phyllostomidae. The record is from RefSeq and is a predicted model, not a curated record. The transcript has 3 exons.
UGAUUCCCUGCUUUCCUACUGAAGGCGGUGACUAUCCCAGGUGUGUCUCCGCCCCCUCGCUCCCUAUUGGCCGCGAUCCUUAAAGCCUGCAGCUUGCUUAUACAAAUUUAAGGAACUCUCAGCUUGUAUUUGGUGAAUACUCGAGUGGAACCUUUUCCACUGUAAAUGGACCUGGCGUGUGUAGAUCCGUUUGCGCUUUCUCAAGCUAAACCCCAAUGUCAGUUCUGCCAUGCAGAAGUCACAGAAUGGGAUGUCACCCAAAACAUUACGUAAUUUGUUUUACAAUUUUCUUGAGAUUUGCCUACUAUCUAGAGCGCCAUAACAUCUAAAUGCAUGGGGCCCUCACGCGGGGCAGCUCUAGGGCCGACGGCGUCACCCCUAGUUCCUUCCUCUGAGGGAGGGCUUGGAGCGGAACGGGCUUGGGAGUGCUGAAGGCACUGGCACCUGAAGCUAGGGACGGGCUUGCAGACCGGAAGUGGGGGAAAGGUGACGUUACAGUGCUGGCGUGGCCCGGGCCAUUUCCAAAGGAAUCUUAAAGCGGCACAUUGGUAGGCUUCCCAAACAGGGGAGGAGGUUGGAAAAAGGGGCAAACAACCACACACACGAGCGUACACAACUAUCUCCCACUUAAGAGCUCUACUUUUCCCUGCCCCCAGCACGGGGUGGGGGUGGGGUCGAGUCCAGUUUUCCCGCGCUUUGUUGCCCCGCCCCCUAGAGGCGGGAGAAGGGGAGGGUUAUUAGGGGAAAGAGUUGCCUUUUAUAUUGUAAUCAGCACUCACUUGCAGAAUUUUUCAGGAAGCCCAGUGUGCCCCCUUGAGCGCGCUGUAGCGGGCCCGCAAGCCUCCGCAGAUGGCUACGUAUGCAGCCGCUCACAACCUGGGCGUGGUUAUUAAAAGUGGUUCUGUUACUUUACCCCGGAUCACAGGACAGGUGAACCCACGGACUCCCUCACGCACGCUGAGAGUCUGCGUAAGUAAUAGAGACUGUUUUAAGGUACCCUGAGAAAAUAAAAGGUGGCUCUGACUGAGAAAGCGAAUCCUGCCCUGCCAUUCAUCGAACUGGGAUCACAGACAUAGAAAGCCUGUAAAGUUAGCAGGAAAUAUUUUCUGCCCAGAACACAGACGUGAUGAUUGAAGGAUCUUGUGAUUUGGAGGCACCCAGACGAUGGAGCUGCAGGCCAAGGAUGGUAGGGAAUUACAAGAAGCCUGGGAAUCUGAUGACUCACUGGGGACACUAUGUCAGCCCUGGGCUACGUCCAGGCUUUAUUAGCUUGAGAGAAAAAUGAACUUCCAUCUU